Molecule: long non-coding RNA, 1978 nt
Organism: Oncorhynchus keta (chum salmon)
Lineage: Eukaryota; Metazoa; Chordata; Actinopteri; Salmoniformes; Salmonidae
Exons: 4
Source: RefSeq, a predicted model, not a curated record
GAUUUAUGGACUGUCCAGCCGCUCACGAGAUGCAGGAAAGCUGAUUUGAGUCUGGUGCUGUCUCUAUAUCAGGUGCUUCCGUGGUUACCAUAGUAACGGAGCUUGUUUGUUAAUGCAAUGUAGCGACUGAGCUUGCAAAUUAACAACAUUUUAUAUCUAUGACAUAUUUCACGUGACCAUUUAUAGGUACAUUGGGUAAACUUUCAUAAGUAAUAUAAAUGCCGCGACCAAAGUAUUUCACUCCGAACAAGGUGUCCUUUCAUAACACCAUGCCUUGGCGACCGGUGGGCGUCAUACCUGUGCAAGGUGUACGACCUGACACUAUUGGUGAAUUACUUUAAAGUCGAUGUACUUCUGAGACCUAUUAUUGGCUGUGCAGGAAAUGACAUCAGUCACUGGUUUGAAUUAAAGACAGCAUUUGGGGUGCUCUGUGCACGUGUCGUCUCCCUGCCUUAGUACUAACUGGACCAAUGACUUUGGGCAACCCUGGUGGAGGGAUACCCAAUAUGAGGUGGGGCUAUUUUGCCAAGACCAGACCUUGAAUGAGAUUCCCCAGCGGUAACUUCGCAACAGUUCCCACACCGCCAGCUCCACCUGGAAGCUGCGUCAACCCGGGACAUUAGUCGGACACUGGAGGAGAACGGUAUCCUCGACAAGGAUGAGGACUUCUACAGUGGACGCAUGGACCGCGACCUCGUUCUCCCAGUCCAUCGGUCUCUACUCAACAUCAAUCCCACUGAACUUUGACCUCAUAUGUAAGGAUGUCAGAAAAUGGUGAUGAGCAAUAUGAGCAAUCUAUUAAAAGGUUGACUUACAAAGUACAGGUCCUUUAUUUUUUUUAUAUUGUGAUAUUGUUAUGAACAUUUUAUUAGAGGGAAUUUGAGCCUGUAAAGGACUAGAACUCAUAACCUCAAAAUCAUCAUCCUUUCCUUGCCAUUCUAUCCGUGUCUUCCUUUUGUCAUUCCUUCAAACCUUCUUGCAUCUACAAUAGGCCAACAUAUGUUAAUAAAUUAACAAUAGUCUGCAAAACUGUACAUAAAACUUCAUGGUAACCAUGGUAAUCGUUUAUGUGAUAUUUAAUAGUAGGCUACUUCCUCUCAACAGCUCCUUUGUGGCUCUGCUAAGUUUUAAUUUCCUGUACUACAGAAUGUGCAGGAAACCAACUCUACUGUAACAGUAGCAGUUUUAGUCAGUUGUGAAAAGUCAUGUUACAAAUAUUUCUUUAAAUCAGUGACGUGUCAUUGUUAUCAAUGUCUAGUUUACUCAUCACAAUUCACAAUUAUACACACACACACAUUUUUUACUGUAAAAUGUGCAUACAGUGCCUUCAGAAAGUAUUCAUUCUGUACCCCUUGACUUAUUCCACAUUGUGUUGUGUUACAGCCUGAAUUACAUUUGUAUUAAAUUGAUGUGUUUUUCACCAAUCUACACACAAUAGACCAUAAUGAGGAAGUAAAAAUAUAUUUUUUAGAAAUGUGUAAAAAUGUAUUGAAAAUAAAAUAGAAAAAUAUCUCAUUUGCAUAUGUAUUCACACCCCUGAGUCAAUACAUGUUAGAAUCACCUUUUGGCAGCGAUGACAGCUGCGAGUCUGUUUGUCUAAGAAGAGCUUUGCACACCUGGAUUGUAUAAUAUUUGCACAUUAUUCUUUAAACCUUUCUUCAAGCUCUGUCAAGUUGUUUGUUGAUCAUUGCUAGACAGGCAUUUUCAAGUCUUGCAUUGAUUUUCAAGAAGAUCUAAUUCAAAACUGUAACUAGGCCACUCAGGAACAUUCAAUUUCGUUUUGCCACAUAUUUUGCAGUAUUACUCUUGUGCCUCGUUGCAAACAGGAUGCAUGUUAUGUCAUAUUUUUAAUUCGGUACAGGCUUCCUUCUUUUCACUGUGUCAAUUAGAUUAGUAUUGUGGAGUAACUACAAUGUUGUUGAUGAUCCUCAGUUUUCUCCUAUCACAGCCAUUAAACUCUGUAACUGUUUUAAAGUCA